Molecule: ribosomal RNA, 250 nt
Filed under: uncultured bacterium
Lineage: Bacteria
Description: partial 16S ribosomal RNA
Rfam family: Bacterial small subunit ribosomal RNA
Source: RNAcentral
UACGUAGGAUGCAAGCGUUAUCCGGAUUUAUUGGGCGUAAAGAGAACGUAGGCGGUCUCUUAAGUUUGGGGUUAAAGACCAAGGCUCAACCUUGGGAGUGCCCUGAAUACUGGGGGACUGGAGGACGGCAGAGGAAAGUGGAAUUCCCAGUGUAGCGGUGAAAUGCGUAGAUAUUGGGAGGAACACCAGUGGCGAAAGCGACUUUCUGGGCCGUUCCUGACGCUGAGGUCCGAAAGCCAGGGGAGCAAAC